GGAAGCCACGAUGAGCUUAUGAGUAAAGGAGAGAAUGGUAUGUAUGCCAAGCUCAUCAAAAUGCAAGAAGCGGCUCAUGAAACCGCUCUUAGUAAUGCCAGAAAGAGCAGUGCAAGGCCCUCGAGUGCAAGGAACUCUGUAAGCUCACCAAUCAUCACUAGGAACUCUUCAUACGGUCGAUCACCAUACUCCCGCCGGUUGUCUGACUUUUCUACCUCGGACUUCAGUCUCUCUCUUGAUGCUGCAUAUUCGAAUUACCGAAAUG
RNAcentral lists this unclassified non-coding RNA (265 nucleotides) under Hevea brasiliensis (rubber tree). The record is from RNAcentral. Lineage: Eukaryota; Viridiplantae; Streptophyta; Magnoliopsida; Malpighiales; Euphorbiaceae.